This 205-nucleotide microRNA precursor is filed under the name Oryza barthii. RNAcentral describes it as "MIR812 microRNA precursor family". It matches the Rfam family "MIR812 microRNA precursor family". The record is from Rfam by way of RNAcentral. Lineage: Eukaryota; Viridiplantae; Streptophyta; Magnoliopsida; Poales; Poaceae.
AAAAAGACAAACCCUGGUUUCCGUGUCCAACGUUUGACCGUCCGUCUUAUUUAAAAAAUUUAUGAAAAAAAUUAAAAAGAUAAGUCACGCACAAAGUAUUAAUCAUGUUUUAUCAUCUAACAACAAUAAAAAUAUAAAUUAUAAAAAAAAUUCAUAUAAAAUAGACAGAUAAAGUUGGACACGGAAACCAAGGGUUUGUCUUUUU